AAGGAAGAGGCGUUUGCCUUUUCUGUUGACUGCUGAAGCCGGUGAAAGAUUGUGCAGCAGCAGGAACUCUUUGUGUUGUAGCCGUGCUGGGAUAAAGCAGUGGGAGACAGGCUGGAAUGGUGUAAGAGGGAAGAAUAUACAGUAUAUUUCAAGGUCUAAUCAACUGCUAAGGGCGUAACCAUGGACGAUGACUUUGAGCGGCGCAGAGAGCUCAGGAGGCAGAAGAGGGAGGAGAUGCGCCUGGAGGCUGAACGGAUGGCCUUCCAGGGUAGUAAUGAGGAUGAGGAGGAGGCUGCAAGGGAGCGAAGACGCAGGGCACGUCAGGAGAGGAUGAGAGGGAUGGGAGGCGAGGAGCCCAGUGACAGCGUGGUGAUGACCAACAGCCACAGUGUAACCGAGACUGUGUCGGUGUCCUCCUCCUCUGUGACCUCCUCGGGUGGAGGAGACGAUGAUGAGCAGGCCCUGCUGGAGCGCAUGGCCAAACGAGAGGAGCGCAGGCAGAAAAGGAUGAUGGAAGCUCUGGAGCGAGAGAAGGAUCAGAACCCCGGCAAUGCCAGUAACCACGGCAGCGGGGAGAAUAGUGUGGAUGAGAGGUCCGUCGGCCGCAGGGGCCGUUACCAAGACAACGAAGAAGAGGUGGAAGAGGGGAAGGCUGCUCCGGAGGAGGAAGAGGCUGAGCAAGGAGAGGAAGAAGAGGAGGAAGAGGUGGUGGAGGAGGAGAAACCGAGACGAUCCUAUAUGAGAGAACAGGAAUCCAUUGACGAGAAAACUAGAAACGAGGUGAAUGAAAAGCAGAAUGGACGUCUGCACGAGGAGACUCCUCCAAAACACAAAAAAACAGAAAGGACCCUGAGCGUGCGCUCUCUGGAGGCGGGGGCGGAGGAGGAGCAGGACGACGCGGCGAACCUGGAGGCGGAGCGUAAGCUGGAGGAGCUGAAACGGCGCCGUGGCGAUGCGGAGAGCGAGGAGUUCGAGAGGAUGAGACGGAAGCAGCAGGAGGCUGAGCAGGAGCUGGAGGAGCUGAAGAAGAAGAGGGAGGAGAGGAGGAAGAUCAUAGAAGAGGAGGAGAGACAGAAGAAACAGGAGGAGGCCGAGAAGAAGGACAGAGAGGAGGAGGAGAAGAGGAGGAUGAAGGAGGAGAUAGAGAGGAGGAGGGCGGAGGCGGCCGAGAAGAGACAGCAGAUGGGGGUGGAGACUGUCGACGGAGAGGCCAAACCCUUCAAAUGCUUCAGCCCCAGAGGAUCCUCCCUCAAGAUUGGUGAAAGGGCAGAGUUUCUGAACAAGUCGGCACAGAAAAGCACGGUGAAGACGUCUCACUCUCCUGUCGUCUCUAAGAUUGACAACAGACUGGAGCAGUACACCUCUGUUGCGCAGAACAAGGAUAUGCGGUCCCCGCGCUCCGGUGCCGUGGACCUGCCAAUGGUGACAGAUGGGAUACGUAACAUCAAGACCAUGUGGGAGAAAGGCAACGUGUUCAACUCACCCGGGGGCGGCGGGGGCACGCACAAGGAAGCAGCUGGGAUGAAGAUAGGUGUGGCGGGCCGCAUCAACGACUGGCUGAAUAAAACCCCCGAGAGCAAAACGCCGGGAGGAAGGCCCGCGGAUCUGAAGCCAGGAGAUGUGACUAACAAGAGAAGUCUGUGGGAAAACAAGGGAUCCUCCCCAGCCAAGAGCUCUGAAGAAGAGCUCUCUUAGCUAGUUGACUUCACCGUUAACUAGUCUGGAAACCCUGGAGAGGUGACUGGUAGAGGGGAGAAUAAAUCUGUUGCCAAUGCAGGUAUGGGACACGAAUGAUACGAAGAGUUUCUUCUGAAGGCUGGUGGGGACCAAGACAAUCCAAGACUCUUCCUUUUUCUAUGUGUAUUAUACCAAAACAAUAUGACCACCACCCUGAGGGAACCCAAGGAAUGGAGAGAAACAGGAGAUUUUAUUUAAUUAGCACUGUACUGAAACGAAUAGCCACCAUCUCGUAUCUACAGUGUAGUGCCUUUGCACAACGAAUUUGCUAUGCUUUACUUUCUCAACAAACAAAUUAAUAUGCUGUGAAAUUUGGAUGUUUUUAUGAUAUGGUCAUUUGUUUUAUAUGUAAUAAGCAACAACUUGCAGAAGAAAAAAAUAAUAAUUGAGAUUAGAUGUAUUUCCCAUACGCUCUUCAGUACAUGUGUACUUUUGAUAUAGUAAAGACAUGGUUUUUAUGAGGUGUCCAGUUCCACAAUCAUCUCCGUGUUCCAAAGAGAGAUAUCUACCAUCGAUGCUCUGUCCAUGUCGUCCAUCUCACUUCUUUUUUUAAAUUUAUAUUUAAAGCAAAGCUUCACACAUAGCUAUUUUAUUCAUGUUCACCAGUUCAGGAGAGAGAUUAUAAGCACUCCGUAGAUUUGGCUUAUUUCACUUUAUUUUGUCUUACCAAUAGUGCAACAACGGUCUGAGUUAAUAUGUGUUAGCACAGAAGUACACGUCGUUAUGAAUAUUAUACUGUAUCUUCUAUUACAGCUUUAUACUCGAGAUUUGUUUCGCUUUUGUACUCUAAAAUUAAAUGACUACCAACCGACAAGAGGCAAUGAAAGGCAGUGCAAGCAACUAAAGGAAAGUUGUAUAUUAAGACGGCUAUUAUAACAUUUAUUAUCCUCGUUUCAAUUUAUUUAUGUUUUUUUGUUGUUGUUUUUUUACGUGUUUUGUCAUUGGCUGUUUUUGUGACUUUUGUACCUGCUGUUUUGAAUUUCUAAAUUCACUUUGUUAAACUUUCAAACAACCCAUAAUGCAGCAGGUGUACUUAGAGUUACGUCGUCAUUUUAGGGACUCUCUGACCCACAACAUUCCACGCCACUAAGCACACCGCCGGGCUUAUUCACAUGCAUGCUCCAAUGGCUUCUAUCCAGGACGUUAAGGACCUCCGCUUUGUCAGUGAGGUUGUCUGAAUAUAGCAGGCCAGAUACACAUUUAUACACCGUGCCUGUACCUUGAGACGGCAUCGGUUUUAAGCCGUAUGCCGCCUUGCCAUUUAAGCCCAAAUCCCAUGUGCUAAUAACUAUAGCACUCUGGGAAGAAGGGAAAGUGCACAUUUAGAUGUGGACAAUGAUCGAGGACUGAAUCAGUCAACAGAAGAGUCAUUUUGACUCCAGACGACAAUUGCGCUUGACGCUUGUUUUGAGUUUUCUUAAAGUUGCAUUUGCGGUAUGUAAGAUCGUGUUUCCAGCACAAAUCCUUUACAUCCAAAAUGGUCUCAAGGCCUUGUUGUUGCAGGCACCGAAUAAACUGUACCUUCGACUUUGCCAACUCAGUUUGACUUCAGCUGUUUCUUUCUUCUUCUUUUACCGUUUCUUUAUUGAGGUUUAUGCGUUUCACGUUUCGCUCAUUCAUUUUGCAUGACAUGCUUUGUUGAUCUGGGUAUUAAAUAAAGGUUAUCAGGGGCAUUGAAAGAUUGUCAAGGUUUUAUACAGAACAAUCACAUUCCAUGACUCCUUAGAACUACAAGCAAUGGAGUCUGACCAAAAUAUAUGACAUUAUUUUACAUUGCUGUUAUUUCAUAUUUUGGUAAUUUUGCUUUUUAUUUCAAACACCCUCAUUUAUUGUGUAGAGUUAACUAUGCAAGGCACACUAUCUGCAGUUUCAGAUCAAACGUUGAUGGUAGUGGGUAGUUUCCUACAGAAUACAUGUUCUGAAAUAUUUGUACCGCUGACUCAACAACUGCAAUAAAGAGAUAUAAAUUGUU
This is an RNA transcript of Oncorhynchus masou masou (cherry salmon), 3709 nucleotides long. It is a transcript of the gene named non-muscle caldesmon-like, with no coding region annotated. The transcript is spliced from 16 exons. The record is from RefSeq and is a predicted model, not a curated record. NCBI's taxonomy places the organism in Eukaryota, Metazoa, Chordata, Actinopteri, Salmoniformes, Salmonidae.